AGGUGUGGGGACAGGAGCUGGGUGUGCUGGGGACUGGCCGCGGACCCCUAACCUGUGUCUCCGGUCUCCCUCCGGGAGCGGCUCAACCCAGCCCAUCGCUCUGGCCCCGUUCUGGCCCUGCAGGGUGGUGGCUGGGACGUUGAAAUGAGCGCGCGAGUGAUUGGCUGGUGGACAGAAGGCACUGCAGCCUGAAAUGGCAGAGUCUGGUGCUGACGAUCCGCGAGAAGAUCAAUGCUGCCAUCCAGGACAUGCCAGAGAGCGAAGAGAUCGCCCAGCUGCUGUCUGGGUCCUGUGAGUGCUUAGGGGCUGUCACUGGAGUCCCCUCUUUGCUGAGACAUUCACUACUUUCACUGCCUAAGAAUCCUGGACCUUCUCAAAGGCACAGAGGCCUCCACGAAGAAUAUUUUUGGCCGAUACUCUUCACAGCGGAUGAAGGAUUGGCAGGAGAUUAUAGCCCUGUAUGAGAAGGACAACACCUACUUAGGUAAAGUGGCCCGGCCUGGGAGCCCUGGUAUCCAUGGGGAAGCCCACUCUCAGAGUUCUGAGAUACCAGGCUUAUAGGAGGCACAGUCUGUGAGUGGGAAGAGACUGGAGUGUAGAUGUUGCCUGUU
This 611-nucleotide small RNA is filed under the name Pan troglodytes (chimpanzee). Its description in RNAcentral is "retained intron". Lineage: Eukaryota; Metazoa; Chordata; Mammalia; Primates; Hominidae. The record is from RNAcentral.